This 264-nucleotide long non-coding RNA is filed under the name Mytilus galloprovincialis (Mediterranean mussel). The record is from RNAcentral. Lineage: Eukaryota; Metazoa; Mollusca; Bivalvia; Mytilida; Mytilidae.
GGAAUCCACUUUUAGAAUAGCUUGAUCUGCCUCUUCAACUGUUCUAGACCCCGGACGAUUUCGGGCCUGACAGAUAGAAUAUAGUGAGUAUACACCUGACUUUUUUUGAAUAUUGUAUUCUGAACGUCUUCGAUUAUUUGCCAGUUUCAUUUGGUAGUUAGCUAGUUGACUUCAAGCAAUUUUACAAUUAUACUUUAAUUCGGACGAAAAACUUCAGAUUUAAAAUUCAUUCAUUUAAUGUCUAGAGUAGUUGGCAGAUACAGA